Molecule: unclassified non-coding RNA, 361 nt
Filed under: Lomelosia cretica
Lineage: Eukaryota; Viridiplantae; Streptophyta; Magnoliopsida; Dipsacales; Caprifoliaceae
Description: partial contains external transcribed spacer and 18S ribosomal RNA
Source: RNAcentral
GCUUGUGCAGCGACGUUCGUCCUGACAAACCACUUCAGUUGUGCCUUCAAGAGCUUUGGGAGCCUCGAGCGUUGUCGGGUUAUUGUGUUGUGUACCUGACAGAGGAAAGCGGUGCCUUAUGAUGCCUAUUCACCCCGCAUCGCUUGCGCGACGUGGGGCGACAGAGAGGCGCGUCCUGUUAUCCUCGAAAGUUGCGCUGACGCGCUUCUUUCGUGGGUCGCUGGUCGCGGCCGAUAUCGUGGAUACGGAAUCCUGUGCGGGCAUGGAGUCUCGACUCCUAUUUGCCUAAAUAAAGUGUUCUCGCUUCUAACGAACGACGGUUGCCUACGGGUCCGUCGCCCGACUGCCCAACGGCGUCGGG